ACGCGAAGAACCUUACCUGGGUUCGAAAUGCAGGUGUAAGCCUCAGAGAUGAGGUCCCCUCUUCGGAGGCACCUGUAUAGGUGCUGCAUGGCUGUCGUCAGCUCGUGUCGUGAGAUGUUGGGUUAAGUCCCGCAACGAGCGCAACCCUUGUCCAUAGUUGCUAACGCGUAGUGGCGAGAACUCUAUGGAGACUGCCGGUGAUAAACCGGAGGAAGGUGGGGAUGACGUCAAGUCCUCAUGGCCUUUAUGUCCAGGGCUACACACGUGCUACAAUGGGCGGUACAAAGAGUUGCGAUCCCGCAAGGGGGAGCUAAUCUCAAAAAGCCGCUCUCAGUUCGGAUUGUUCUCUGCAACUCGAGAGCAUGAAGCUGGAAUCGCUAGUAAUCGCGGAUCAGCACGCCGCGGUGAAUACGUUCCCGGGCCUUGUA
This 428-nucleotide ribosomal RNA is filed under the name uncultured Acidobacterium sp. RNAcentral's name for it is "bacterial SSU rRNA". It matches the Rfam family "Bacterial small subunit ribosomal RNA", at positions 959 to 1385 of the family's 1533-position model. Lineage: Bacteria; Pseudomonadati; Acidobacteriota; Terriglobia; Terriglobales; Acidobacteriaceae. The record is from RNAcentral.